CGGGGGCAGAGUGGGCGUCUCGCCUGUGCUCACGAAACAAAGAAGCCGCCGCUGCUGCCGCCGAGCAAUGAUGUUAUGCAGCUCCUCUGCUCUGAUGGAGACUAUGGUCUAGAGAAAUAUACAAAGAACAUGAGCCUGAUCUAUGCAUUGCUUCCCAAAUUCACCAGGUAAGCAAAAUGCCAAAGAGGCAGUAUUCAAAACACAAGCCUGGAGAAUCUCCUGGGGAUUCGGAGGCAUUCUAAGGUGGAGCUCUGGAAUUUUUCACAAAAAGUGCCCAAGGUGGGUCUUACCAUCUAGAAAGUCUGUGAAGAGCCGUGGAAGCAGUGAUUUCAGUGGGGCAAAUCCACAGACUCGCCUCUACCCUAUCUGUUUGCCAAAACUCAGAGAAGGCAGGGGUACUUCCAACAAGGAACUUCCCAGCUAUUUUGGCCACAUGAUUAAAAUGACCUUUUUUAAAAUUCUAGAUGUAAGCAUGUGCUAGAAGAUAUAUUUUCAAUGUGGCCUUCAGAAUCCCCUAGGGGGUCCAUUAACACACAAAUCACUAGGCCCCAACCACAGAGCCUCUGAUUCAGCAGGUUUGGGACGCGACCUGAGAACCUACAUUGCUGGCAAACUCCUGGAGGAUGCUGUCACUGCUGGGGGCUGCGGGUUGUAUUUGGUGAUGAAAUCCUGUCAAGAUUCAGCCUGUUGUCAUCCUGGUGUCCUUUUCGUGGGUGAGGCAAAUGAGCCCAGAGUUUAAGAUACUUGAACUAGAUCACACGUCAGGGCAGGGUCUGUAAACCCAGAUCUGGUCUGGUCGCUGAGAGGAGAUUCCAGAAUGAUAUUAAGGCAUUGACUCAAGUGAUUAUGGAGACUGGCAAGUCCAAAAUUGGCAGGCCAGAAACUCGGGAAGAGCUAAUGCCGCAGUUUAAGCUCCAAGGCCAUCUG
Molecule: long non-coding RNA, 927 nt
Organism: Manis pentadactyla (Chinese pangolin)
Lineage: Eukaryota; Metazoa; Chordata; Mammalia; Pholidota; Manidae
Exons: 2
Source: RefSeq, a predicted model, not a curated record